Molecule: long non-coding RNA, 718 nt
Organism: Syngnathus acus (greater pipefish)
Lineage: Eukaryota; Metazoa; Chordata; Actinopteri; Syngnathiformes; Syngnathidae
Exons: 2
Source: RefSeq, a predicted model, not a curated record
AUUAACUUCUAAUUUAUUAAUUAGGUCCAUUGAACAAUCUAGCCACCUCUUGACUGCAUCCUAUUGGGUCCUAAUGUCCUAUUUUCAUCUCCAAAUUGUCACUGACUAUAUGUCUAAUUGUUAAGCUGGAUGGGCUAAAUGUGAUCUUACUCUUAUUUCGUACAAUUUAGCCUAUCUGUUUUAUCCAAAUUUAUCCUCUGAUUAUGAUGCUUUUUUUCUUUUUCUGUAACACUACACAUUUUGCUCCUUAUUUAUUUCUUUAUUUAUUCAUCUUUUAUCAAGACUCCUCAGUUUUGUCAAGCUCAGUGCCCAAGCAAGCUUCCAUCCACUUUGACCCAAGCUCCACCAACUUUGAUAACGCCUCAGCAAGGAGUCCAGUUUGCUUGAUGCACAUUUCAGGUCUCAUGUGUCUUUCGCCGCACCUCAUUGUCAAGUUGUUGUCUUUAGUUGUAGCCUCAGAGCCAACUCAUUCCUCACUCUCGGAUGAGUCCAUUUUCAACUGAGUCCAUUCUCAUCUUGUAAGUUCCUUCACUUUUUGUACUCUCCUCCGAGGAUGUCGUUUUCCUUCGGAGCGUUGUGCUCCCCCCAAGCACAAAUAUAGUCCUUCUUUGCUCAUGCAAAAGGUCAAAGGUGCCUCAGAGCCAAGCACCGUUUUCUUGUCGUUCUCAGCUGUCGGUGGAGUCUCGGGAUCGAGUUUCAGGGUCACUGCUGGAUACUG